UAGUAGCGAAGUUCCUGAUUCCACACUGCCAAGAAAAGCCUCUAGCGAGGUGGGAGGUGCCCGUACCGCAAACCGACACAGGUAGGCGAGGGGAGAAUCCUAAGGUGAUCGAGAGAACUCUCGUUAAGGAACUCGGCAAAAUGACCCCGUAACUUCGGGAGAAGGGGUGCUCUGUUAGGGUGCAAGCCCGAGAGAGCCGCAGUGAAUAGGCCCAGGCGACUGUUUAGCAAAAACACAGGUCUCUGCGAAGCCGUAAGGCGAAGUAUAGGGGCCGACGCCUGCCCGGUGCUGGAAGGUUAAGAGGAGCGCUUAGCGUAAGCGAAGGUGCGAAUUGAAGCCCCAGUAAACGGCGGCCGUAACCAUAACGGUCCUAAGGUAGCGAAAUUCCUUGUCGGGUAAGUUCCGACCCGCACGAAAGGCGCAACGAUCUGGGCACUGUCUCAACGAGAGACUCGGUGAAAUUAUAGUACCUGUGAAGAUGCAGGUUACCCGCGACAGGACGGAAAGACCCCGUGGAGCUUUACUGCAGCCUGAUAUUGAAUGUUGGUACAGCUUGUACAGGAUAGGUAGGAGCCUUGGAAACCGGAGCGCCAGCUUCGGUGGAGGCAUCGGUGGGAUACUACCCUGGCUGUAUUGACCUUCUAACCCGCCGCCCUUAUCGGGCGGGGAGACAGUGUCAGGUGGGCAGUUUGACUGGGGCGGUCGCCUCCUAAAAGGUAACGGAGGCGCCCAAAGGUUCCCUCAGAAUGGUUGGAAAUCAUUCGCAGAGUGUAAAGGCACAAGGGAGCUUGACUGCGAGACCUACAAGUCGAGCAGGGACGAAAGUCGGGCUUAGUGAUCCGGUGGUUCCGCAUGGAAGGGCCAUCGCUCAACGGAUAAAAGCUACCCCGGGGAUAACAGGCUUAUCUCCCCCAAGAGUCCACAUCGACGGGGAGGUUUGGCACCUCGAUGUCGGCUCAUCGCAUCCUGGGGCUGUAGUCGGUCCCAAGGGUUGGGCUGUUCGCCCAUUAAAGCGGUACGCGAGCUGGGUUCAGAACGUCGUGAGACAGUUCGGUCCCUAUCCGUCGCGGGCGCAGGAAAUUUGAGAGGAGCUGUCCUUAGUACGAGAGGACCGGGAUGGACGCACCGCUGGUGUACCAGUUGUUCUGCCAAGGGCAUCGCUGGGUAGCUAUGUGCGGACGGGAUAAGUGCUGAAAGCAUCUAAGCAUGAAGCCCCCCUCAAGAUGAGAUUUCCCAUUCCGCAAGGAAGUAAGAUCCCUGAAAGAUGAUCAGGUUGAUAGGUCUGAGGUGGAAGUGUGGCGACACAUGGAGCUGACAGAUACUAAUCGAUCGAGGACUUAACC
RNAcentral lists this ribosomal RNA (1343 nucleotides) under metagenome. RNAcentral describes it as "bacterial LSU rRNA". It matches the Rfam family "Bacterial large subunit ribosomal RNA", at positions 1580 to 2925 of the family's 2925-position model. The record is from RNAcentral.